UUCUAUAAAACAAUUUGAACUCUUCAAAAAAUGCCAAGGUCAAAAAAGACUGAGGAACUGUUUCAGAUUAAAAGAGGCUAAAGAGUAAAGAGACAGCCCAGCAGACGUGGCUGGUUCGAUUCCUGAUCAGGGCACAUGCCUGGGUUGCAGGCUCCAUCCCCAGUAGGGGUGUGGAGGAGGCAGCUGAUCAAUGAUUCUCUCUCAUCAUUGAUGUUUCUAUCUCUCUGACCCUCUCCAUCUCUGAAAUCAAUAGAAUAUAUAAGAAAAAAAAAAAAGAUUAAAGAGACAGGAUGACUAAGUGGAGCAUAGGGUCCUAGACUGGAUCCUGUAUGACUACUGGCACAAUGGAGGAAAAUCAUGGGUCAAUAGAUUAAUAUAUUGUAUCAAUGUUCAAUUUCCUGAAUUUGAUAAGUGCACUGUGGUCAUA
Long non-coding RNA from Myotis daubentonii (Daubenton's bat), 427 nucleotides. RefSeq lists it as uncharacterized. Lineage: Eukaryota; Metazoa; Chordata; Mammalia; Chiroptera; Vespertilionidae. The record is from RefSeq and is a predicted model, not a curated record.